RNAcentral lists this long non-coding RNA (1419 nucleotides) under Monodelphis domestica (gray short-tailed opossum). RNAcentral's name for it is "lncRNA (ENSMODG00000036276.2)". The record is from RNAcentral. Lineage: Eukaryota; Metazoa; Chordata; Mammalia; Didelphimorphia; Didelphidae.
CACCCCCCUGGCCGGGGGCGGGCCGAACCGUUCCCCACCAGAAGAAUAAUAGCCCGACAGACAGCCAGUGUCCGCAGUCGCUCGCUCACCUUCGCUGGGCCGCCCUGUCUUGUCCGUCAGUGGCUCCGUGCGCUCCGUCAGUGCCUUUGCUGACCGCAGCCGCCCUCGAAGCAGGCACGCCCCUUCCCUUCCCUCUGCGAAGGGCUGGGGUAGUCCCCGCAUCUCCGGCCGCCGCUGCCCGCCCGGAGCCCAGCUCACCUCCUAGCGCCCACAGCCGCCAGCCCUACCGGCUCCCGCAUCCCUCCCUCUCGGGCGGCCGUCCGCUCCGGGAGCACAACCCCAAGGGCAUCGGCGGCGGCGCGGCGGCGCCCAGCUCACGGCUCCAGCCACCUGAGCCCGAGGUGAGGUCCGUACCGUAGAGCAGUGCCUCCUGUCGUCCUGUCGUCCUGUCAUCCAUCCAUCUGCCCUGUGAGAUCAGUGGUGGGGAUUUGUUCCCAGAGUCCUGAGAGAGCCUAGCAGCUUCGGUGAGUUAGCCCCAUUCCCUUACUUCGCCUUGAAGAUGCUUCCAUAUCUUGCCAGGCCAUCGUUUCCACUCACCCAAAGGGAAAGGCAAGGCUUGUGGUUUGCUCCUAAAUCAUUUGGCAGUGCUUCUUAGGGCAGGGUGUCAUGACAUCCCUGUAAAGACAACCUCAGCCUGGGUGUGCCAGGAAUGCUUUGGGAAUGAGGGAGGCCCCGGAGGAGGAGGCAAGGGGGGGAAAACACAAAUCACUUUCUUUAAUGACCUUGAGAAUAAUGGGACCUGUCUAAAUGAGAUUUAGCUACAGGAAGGAGACAGAACCCUAGGGGAAGAUUUGCAGGUACAGAAGGCCAAUCCCGAGGGGAUGGAACUGCCAUCCGGGGGACAUCUCUACAAGGGGAGGUUUGGGCGCCAGCUUGCCAUUGUCCUCUGCCACUCAUUGCUGCUUUUCAGGAAUGAGCUUUUUUCUGGGAUUCUGGCAGAGAGCCUGGGGUUGUGGUUGUCUGCUUGGGAGGUUGGGGCACAGGCAGCUGGCAGGGAGGCCUGCCUCUGUGAAUUGGGGCAUACCUGAGCUAUGACAGGUAAAGUUGCUAUGCCUGGGAUACCCAGGAUUGGCCGAUGGGAGAAAGAAUGGGAGGAGCUCCCAAUGAGUAACAGAACUUCCCAUCUUCUGCCUGGGGAGCAAGUGAGUUGUCCCAUCCAGGGCUAAGCUCCUGGCCCUGUAGGCUGUAUAGCCAAGCUUUCCAGGAAUUCCUGUUUCUCCUGGUUUUGUCUACAUAAGACUUCCAGGCCAAUGAAUUCUGGGAUUGCCUCUGCUGGAAUGGGAAGGCCAGUAUUCUGAGAAUUAGUGGUGAGAUCUCUGGCUCUGAAAUGGGGGGGUGGGCUUUCCUUCCAGUUUCUGC